This 492-nucleotide ribosomal RNA is filed under the name uncultured bacterium. Its description in RNAcentral is "partial 16S ribosomal RNA". It matches the Rfam family "Bacterial small subunit ribosomal RNA", at positions 29 to 507 of the family's 1533-position model. The record is from RNAcentral.
AGUGAACGCUGGCGGUAGGCCUAACACAUGCAAGUCGAACGGCAGCACAGUAAGAGCUUGCUCUUACGGGUGGCGAGUGGCGGACGGGUGAGGAAUACAUCGGAAUCUACUUUUUCGUGGGGGAUAACGUAGGGAAACUUACGCUAAUACCGCAUACGACCUACGGGUGAAAGCAGGGGAUCUUCGGACCUUGCGCGAUUGAAUGAGCCGAUGUCGGAUUAGCUAGUUGGCGGGGUAAAGGCCCACCAAGGCGACGAUCCGUAGCUGGUCUGGGAGGAUGAUCAGCCACACUGGAACUGAGACACGGUCCAGACUCCUACGGGAGGCAGCAGUGGGGAAUAUUGGACAAUGGGCGCAAGCCUGAUCCAGCCAUACCGCGUGGGUGAAGAAGGCCUUCGGGUUGUAAAGCCCUUUUGUUGGGAAAGAAAAGCAGCAGGUUAAAACCCCGCUGUUCUGACGGUACCCAAAGAAUAAGCACCGGCUAACUUCGUG